GCCGAAGUGGCGGAAUUGGCAGACGCACUGGACUCAAAAUCCAGCGGUGUAACAACCGUGUGGGUUCGAAUCCCACCUUCGGCACCA
This 87-nucleotide transfer RNA is filed under the name Bacillota bacterium. RNAcentral describes it as "tRNA-Leu". It matches the Rfam family "tRNA". Rfam says of the family: Transfer RNA (tRNA) molecules are approximately 80 nucleotides in length. Their secondary structure includes four short double-helical elements and three loops (D, anti-codon, and T loops). Lineage: Bacteria; Bacillati; Bacillota. The record is from RNAcentral.